RNAcentral lists this ribosomal RNA (410 nucleotides) under uncultured Clostridium sp. Its description in RNAcentral is "bacterial SSU rRNA". It matches the Rfam family "Bacterial small subunit ribosomal RNA", at positions 39 to 439 of the family's 1533-position model. Lineage: Bacteria; Bacillati; Bacillota; Clostridia; Eubacteriales; Clostridiaceae. The record is from RNAcentral.
AGAGUUUGAUCCUGGCUCAGACACAUGCAAGUCGAGCGAUGAAGUUCCUUCGGGAAAUGGAUUAGCGGCGGACGGGUGAGUAACACGUGGGUAACCUGCCUUAUAGUGGGGGAUAGCCUUUCGAAAGGAAGAUUAAUACCGCAUAAGAUUGUAGUAUCGCAUGAUAUAGCAAUUAAAGGAGCAAUUCGCUAUAAGAUGGACCCGCGUCGCAUUAGCUAGUUGGUGAGGUAAUGGCUCACCAAGGCGACGAUGCGUAGCCGACCUGAGAGGGUGAUCGGCCACAUUGGGACUGAGACACGGCCCAGACUCCUACGGGAGGCAGCAGUGGGGAAUAUUGCACAAUGGGCGAAAGCCUGAUGCAGCAACGCCGCGUGAGUGAUGACGGCCUUCGGGUUGUAAAACUCUGUCUU